Molecule: ribosomal RNA, 498 nt
Filed under: Acrobeloides sp. Sourhope farm
Lineage: Eukaryota; Metazoa; Nematoda; Chromadorea; Rhabditida; Cephalobidae
Description: SSU rRNA
Rfam family: Eukaryotic small subunit ribosomal RNA
Source: RNAcentral
CAUGCAUGUCUAAGUAUAAACGAUUUAAUCGUGAAACCGCGAAUGGCUCAUUAUAACAGCUAUAAUUUACUUGAUCUUGACACAAUCCUACUUGGAUAACUGUGGUAAUUCUAGAGCUAAUACAUGCAUUAAAGCUCUGACCUCACGGGAAGAGUGCAUUUAUUAGAACAAAACCAAGCGGCUUCGGCUGUUUCUGGUUGACUCAUAGUAACUGAGCUGAUCGCAUGGUCUUGCACCGGCGACGUGUCUUUCAAGUAUCUGCCGUAUCAACUUUCGAUGGUAGUGUAUCUGACUACCAUGGUGAUCACGCGUAACGGAGAAUAAGGGUUCGGCUCCGGAGAGUUCGCCUGAGAAAUCGCGAACACAUCUAAGGAAGGCAGCAGGCGCGAAAAUUCACCCACUCUCAGCACGAGGAGGUAGUGACGAAAAAUAACGAGACCGUUCUCUUAUGAGGCCGGUCAUCGGAAUGGGUACAAUUUAAACCCUUUAACGAGUAUC